This 680-nucleotide ribosomal RNA is filed under the name Microbacterium maritypicum. Its description in RNAcentral is "bacterial SSU rRNA". It matches the Rfam family "Bacterial small subunit ribosomal RNA", at positions 90 to 784 of the family's 1533-position model. Lineage: Bacteria; Bacillati; Actinomycetota; Actinomycetes; Micrococcales; Microbacteriaceae. The record is from RNAcentral.
GAUCAGUGGCGAACGGGUGAGUAACACGUGAGCAACCUGCCCCUGACUCUGGGAUAAGCGCUGGAAACGGCGUCUAAUACUGGAUAUGUGACGUGACCGCAUGGUCUGCGUCUGGAAAGAAUUUCGGUUGGGGAUGGGCUCGCGGCCUAUCAGCUUGUUGGUGAGGUAAUGGCUCACCAAGGCGUCGACGGGUAGCCGGCCUGAGAGGGUGACCGGCCACACUGGGACUGAGACACGGCCCAGACUCCUACGGGAGGCAGCAGUGGGGAAUAUUGCACAAUGGGCGGAAGCCUGAUGCAGCAACGCCGCGUGAGGGAUGACGGCCUUCGGGUUGUAAACCUCUUUUAGCAGGGAAGAAGCGAAAGUGACGGUACCUGCAGAAAAAGCGCCGGCUAACUACGUGCCAGCAGCCGCGGUAAUACGUAGGGCGCAAGCGUUAUCCGGAAUUAUUGGGCGUAAAGAGCUCGUAGGCGGUUUGUCGCGUCUGCUGUGAAAUCCGGAGGCUCAACCUCCGGCCUGCAGUGGGUACGGGCAGACUAGAGUGCGGUAGGGGAGAUUGGAAUUCCUGGUGUAGCGGUGGAAUGCGCAGAUAUCAGGAGGAACACCGAUGGCGAAGGCAGAUCUCUGGGCCGUAACUGACGCUGAGGAGCGAAAGGGUGGGGAGCAAACAGGCUUAGAUA